GGCUCGAUGGUCGAUUGGUUAAGGGGUUGGACUUUAGUAUCAAUGGACGCAAGCCUUCGUGGGUUCGAACCCCACUCGCGCUA
Molecule: non-coding RNA, 83 nt
Organism: Heligmosomoides polygyrus
Lineage: Eukaryota; Metazoa; Nematoda; Chromadorea; Rhabditida; Heligmosomidae
Source: Rfam